RNAcentral lists this transfer RNA (66 nucleotides) under uncultured Anaerotignum sp. It matches the Rfam family "tRNA", at positions 5 to 66 of the family's 71-position model. From Rfam's summary of the family: Transfer RNA (tRNA) molecules are approximately 80 nucleotides in length. Their secondary structure includes four short double-helical elements and three loops (D, anti-codon, and T loops). Lineage: Bacteria; Bacillati; Bacillota; Clostridia; Lachnospirales; Anaerotignaceae. The record is from RNAcentral.
UCAGUAGCUCAGCUGGUUAGAGCGCCGGCCUGUCACGCCGGAGGUCGUGGGUUCGAGCCCCAUCUG